This 520-nucleotide unclassified non-coding RNA is filed under the name uncultured Glomus. RNAcentral describes it as "SSU rRNA". It matches the Rfam family "Eukaryotic small subunit ribosomal RNA", at positions 569 to 1088 of the family's 1831-position model. Lineage: Eukaryota; Fungi; Glomeromycota; Glomeromycetes; Glomerales; Glomeraceae. The record is from RNAcentral.
AGCAGCCGCGGUAAUUCCAGCUCCAAUAGCGUAUAUUAAAGUUGUUGCAGUUAAAAAGCUCGUAGUUGAAUUUCGGGAUCAGUACGCCGGUCGUGCCUUCGGUAUGCACUGGUGUCACUGGUUUCUCCCUUCUGAAGAGCCAUCAUGCCAUUCAGUUGGUGUGGCGGGGGAAUCAGGACUGUUACUUUGAAAAAAUUAGAGUGUUUAAAGCAGGCUCGCGCUUGAAUACAUUAGCAUGGAAUAAUGAAAUAGGACGUUUGACCCUAUUUUGUUGGUUUCUAGGAUCGACGUAAUGAUUAAUAGGGAUAGUUGGGGGCAUUAGUAUUCAAUUGUCAGAGGUGAAAUUCUUGGAUUUAUUGAAGACUAACUACUGCGAAAGCAUUUGCCAAGGAUGUUUUCAUUAAUCAAGAACGAAAGUUAGGGGAUCGAAGACGAUCAGAUACCGUCGUAGUCUUAACCAUAAACUAUGCCGACUAGGGAUCGGAUGAUGUUAAUUUUUUUAAUGACUCAUUCGGCGCCU